Molecule: ribosomal RNA, 481 nt
Filed under: Escherichia coli
Lineage: Bacteria; Pseudomonadati; Pseudomonadota; Gammaproteobacteria; Enterobacterales; Enterobacteriaceae
Description: bacterial SSU rRNA
Rfam family: Bacterial small subunit ribosomal RNA
Source: RNAcentral
AAAUUGAAGAGUUUGAUCAUGGCUCAGAUUGAACGCUGGCGGCAGGCCUAACACAUGCAAGUCGAACGGUAACAGGAAGCAGCUUGCUGCUUCGCUGACGAGUGGCGGACGGGUGAGUAAUGUCUGGGAAACUGCCUGAUGGAGGGGGAUAACUACUGGAAACGGUAGCUAAUACCGCAUAACGUCGCAAGACCAAAGGGGGGGGACCUUCGGGCCUCUUGCCAUCGGAUGUGCCCAGAUGGGAUUAGCUUGUUGGUGGGGUAACGGCUCACCAAGGCGACGAUCCCUAGCUGGUCUGAGAGGAUGACCAGCCACACUGGAACUGAGACACGGUCCAGACUCCUACGGGAGGCAGCAGUGGGGAAUAUUGCACAAUGGGCGCAAGCCUGAUGCAGCCAUGCCGCGUGUAUGAAGAAGGCCUUCGGGUUGUAAAGUACUUUCAGCGGGGAGGAAGGGAGUAAAGUUAAUACCUUUGCUCAUU